Cololabis saira (Pacific saury) is the source of this 1081-nucleotide long non-coding RNA. RefSeq lists it as uncharacterized. The record is from RefSeq and is a predicted model, not a curated record. The transcript is spliced from 3 exons. Lineage: Eukaryota; Metazoa; Chordata; Actinopteri; Beloniformes; Belonidae.
AAAGAAAGAGCGACGAUGGGGAAGGCGGAGGCUAAAACAAAACAGAAGAAAUCAGGAGCACAGAAAUGAAAAGAUAGAAAAAAAGAGAGAUUUGUCCAGGCUGCUGCUGCCAAGUGUGUCUCAGUGAGCACAUUUUUUAAAACGGCGCGGCCGCCUGCACCGCCACACAUUGAUACUAACACUGAAAGCAGUGAUGAUGCAGCCGCAGCCCGCGACGGUGUGGAAAUGGAGGCGGGGGGGGUCGGCGUCACAGCCCCCGUCUGAUGAAGAGGACGCCGCCGUGUCUCCUUGUCCUCCACUUGUCCUCCACAAACAACACAAACCAAGUUGUCCUACAGACCAAAUCACUGAACAAGGAGCAAGACUAGGAGCUGCUGAAGAGGACACCAUCCGUGUCCGCCUCCCCUCCACUUGUCGUCCAACCACAACCAUCAAGACAAACUACUGAACCAGGAGGUGAGGCCGCAUAAGUCCACUGGUGUGGGAGGAGUUGGAGCUGCUGCAGGUGUGCUGAUGGAGAGCGACGCCCACCUCUACCGGGAGCCAACCAGAGGAAACUUCUCCCCUACAAAACUGCUGCUGGAGCAGUGCUCUUUGGCAGUCGUCUCACACCACCUCAUGUGUAAAGACGUGCUGUCCGUUCUGUGUGAUGUUGUGAGAGCUUUGGGGCCAAAUGUUUGGUUUCCCUCAGCCUAUCUGCCCAAGCAGUUUGUGGCCCUGCUAAAUCUUGUUGGUUGAUUAACUUGUGAAAGUAAUGGAAGCAGUAAGGUAAAUAUUAGAUGGCUCCAACGCCUGAGUGAUGUAAAAGCCUACUUUGAUGAGGAUUGGUUUAGAGUAGUUAGUAUAGUUAAUAUUAUUGUAAUUUUGUUUUGGUUAAAUGUUAGGUUUAGUUAGUGGAUUUAUUAUUUUAAGGUUAGGGUCCAGUUCCUUAUGCUUAUUUCUUUGGUUUACGUUGGAGUCAUUUUCUUUAUAUAAACUUUAGUUUUGGGGUAUAAUUUGUAAACUGCUUUCCUUACUGUUGUAAGCAAUCAACUGUAUUUCAACUUGAACAAAAGAACCAUUGGGUCAAAUAAAAACAUUU